UGUUUCGGCUAGGGGGUCAUCCCGACUUACCAACCCGAUGCAAACUACGAAUACCGAAGAAUGUUAUCACGGGAGACACACGGCGGGUGCUAACGUCCGUCGUGAAGAGGGAAACAACCCAGACCGCCAGCUAAGGUCCCAAAGUCAUGGUUAAGUGGGAAACGAUGUGGGAAGGCCCAGACAGCCAGGAUGUUGGCUUAGAAGCAGCCAUCAUUUAAAGAAAGCGUAAUAGCUCACUGGUCGAGUCGGCCUGCGCGGAAGAUGUAACGGGGCUAAACCAUGCACCGAAGCUGCGGCAGCGACACUAUGUGUUGUUGGGUAGGGGAGCGUUCUGUAAGCCGUUGAAGGUGGCCUGUGAGGGUUGCUGGAGGUAUCAGAAGUGCGAAUGCUGACAUAAGUAACGAUAAUGCGGGUGAAAAACCCGCACGCCGGAAGACCAAGGGUUCCUGUCCAACGUUAAUCGGGGCAGGGUGAGUCGACCCCUAAGGCGAGGCCGAAAGGCGUAGUCGAUGGGAAACAGGUUAAUAUUCCUGUACUUGGUGUUACUGCGAAGGGGGGACGGAGAAGGCUAUGUUGGCCGGGCGACGGUUGUCCCGGUUUAAGCAUGUAGGCGGAUGUUCCAGGUAAAUCCGGAACGUCACUAACGCUGAGGUGUGAUGACGAGGCACUACGGUGCUGAAGUGACAAAUGCCCUGCUUCCAGGAAAAGCCUCUAAGCAUCAGGUAACAUCAAAUCGUACCCCAAACCGACACAGGUGGUCAGGUAGAGAAUACCAAGGCGCUUGAGAGAACUCGGGUGAAGGAACUAGGCAAAAUGGUGCCGUAA
RNAcentral lists this ribosomal RNA (825 nucleotides) under Klebsiella oxytoca. Its description in RNAcentral is "partial 23S ribosomal RNA". It matches the Rfam family "Bacterial large subunit ribosomal RNA", at positions 911 to 1733 of the family's 2925-position model. The record is from RNAcentral. Lineage: Bacteria; Pseudomonadati; Pseudomonadota; Gammaproteobacteria; Enterobacterales; Enterobacteriaceae.